CCCUGUACUGGGGGACAACAGUUGGAAACGACUGCUAAUACCGCAUAAGCGCACGGGAUCGCAUGAUCGUGUGUGAAAAACUCCGGUGGUACAGGAUGGACCCGCGUCUGAUUAGCUGGUUGGUGAGGUAACGGCCCACCAAGGCAACGAUCAGUAGCCGGCCUGAGAGGGUGAACGGCCACAUUGGGACUGAGACACGGCCCAAACUCCUACGGGAGGCAGCAGUGGGGAAUAUUGCACAAUGGGGGAAACCCUGAUGCAGCGACGCCGCGUGAGUGAAGAAGUAUUUCGGUAUGUAAAGCUCUAUCAGCAGGGAAGAAAAUGACGGUACCUGACUAAGAAGCCCCGGCUAACUACGUGCCAGCAGCCGCGGUAAUACGUAGGGGGCAAGCGUUAUCCGGAUUUACUGGGUGUAAAGGGAGCGUAGACGGCAUGGCAAGUCUGAAGUGAAAUGCGGGGGCUCAACCCCUGAACUGCUUUGGAAACUGUCAGGCUGGAGUGCAGGAGAGGUAAGUGGAAUUCCUAGUGUAGCGGUGAAAUGCGUAGAUAUUAGGAGGAACACCAGUGGCGAAGGCGGCUUACUGGACUGUAACUGACGUUGAGGCUCGAAAGCGUGGGGAGCAAACAGGAUUAGAUACCCUGGUAGUCCACGCCGUAAACGAUGAUUACUAGGU
RNAcentral lists this ribosomal RNA (674 nucleotides) under uncultured bacterium. Its description in RNAcentral is "bacterial SSU rRNA". It matches the Rfam family "Bacterial small subunit ribosomal RNA", at positions 129 to 821 of the family's 1533-position model. The record is from RNAcentral.